This 208-nucleotide unclassified non-coding RNA is filed under the name Ambisporaceae sp. Its description in RNAcentral is "partial contains 5.8S ribosomal RNA and internal transcribed spacer 2". The stretch from base 1 to 71 matches the Rfam family "5.8S ribosomal RNA", at positions 84 to 154 of the family's 154-position model. The record is from RNAcentral. Lineage: Eukaryota; Fungi; Glomeromycota; Glomeromycetes; Archaeosporales; Ambisporaceae.
GUGAAUCAUCAAAUUUUUGAACGCAUAUUGCACUCUCUGGUAUUCCGGAGUGUAUGCCUGUUUGAGGGUAAUUAAAAAGACUCUUUAACCACUUUUUUUGGUCAAAGGAAAUGAGUUCUCCGAGUAUAUAGCGGUAGCUAAAAAUAAAUGGUCAAGUCUCGUAUUAUUCAAGACGCUUAUUAAUAUUAUUUCGCGAAAUCUUCAUAAU